RNAcentral lists this ribosomal RNA (774 nucleotides) under Halorubrum sp. L29-3-1. Its description in RNAcentral is "bacterial SSU rRNA". It matches the Rfam family "Archaeal small subunit ribosomal RNA", at positions 55 to 830 of the family's 1478-position model. Lineage: Archaea; Methanobacteriati; Methanobacteriota; Halobacteria; Halobacteriales; Haloferacaceae. The record is from RNAcentral.
UAGUCGCACGAGUUCAGACUCGUGGCGAAUAGCUCAGUAACACGUGGCCAAACUACCCUUCGGAACACAAUACCCUCGGGAAACUGAGGCUAAUAGUGUAUACCAUACCACCACUGGAAUGAGUGGUAUGCCAAACGCUCCGGCGCCGAAGGAUGUGGCUGCGGCCGAUUAGGUAGACGGUGGGGUAACGGCCCACCGUGCCAAUAAUCGGUAUGGGUCAUGAGAGUGAGAACCCAGAGACGGAAUCUGAGACAAGAUUCCGGGCCCUACGGGGCGCAGCAGGCGCGAAACCUUUACACUGCACGACAGUGCGAUAGGGGGAUCCCAAGUGCACAGGCAUAGCGCCUGUGCUUUUCGGUACCCUAAGGCGGUACCAGAAUAAGGGCUGGGCAAGACCGGUGCCAGCCGCCGCGGUAAUACCGGCAGCCCAAGUGAUGGCCGAUCUUAUUGGGCCUAAAGCGUCCGUAGCUGGCCGCGCAAGUCCAUCGGGAAAUCCACCUGCUCAACAGGUGGGCGCCCGGUAGAAACUGCGUGGCUUGGGACCGGAAGGCGCGACGGGUACGUCCGGGGUAGGAGUGAAAUCCCGUAAUCCUGGACGGACCGCCGAUGGCGAAAGCACGUCGCGAGAACGGAUCCGACAGUGAGGGACGAAAGCCAGGGUCUCGAACCGGAUUAGAUACCCGGGUAGUCCUGGCCGUAAACAAUGUCUGCUAGGUGUGGCUCCCACUACGAGUGGGUGCUGUGCCGUAGGGAAGCCGCUAAGCAGACCGCCUG